AUGAAUAUUUUUUAUUGGUAUUGCUGGGGGGACUGUCGGACAGAUCAUGAGGUUUUGGCCCUCUCAAAAGCCAACAACUGCAAGCUAGUCUUCCUUUGUGAGACUAGACAGGAGGCAACCAAGAUAGAGAAGAUGAAGUAGAGGCUGGGUCUAAAAGGUUUCCACGAUGUCGGUAGUGAUGGAAGAAGCGGAGGGCUAGCAGUGUUCUGGGAUGAAAAUCUCACUGUUACAGUUUUGGAAUCUUGUAGUAGGUGCAUUGAUGUUCGGAUCCUUGAAGGAGGCUCUAGUAUCGCAUGGAGGGGUACUUUUGUUUAUGGGGAGCCGAGAGUGGAGAAUCGUCAUCAGAUGUGGGAUCAUCUAUGUCGUCUGCGGGCCGUGUCGCGAGAGCCAUGGGUCGUUUGUAGCGACUUCAAUGAAGCACUCUGGCAGCACAAGCAUUUGUCAAGAUCAGCCAGGGCGGAGACACAAAUGUCAGCAUUCAGGGACUGCCUACAAACAUGUGAGCUUGAGGAUCUCGGGUUCUCAGGCCUCCCAUACACAUAUGAUAAUGGUCAAGAGGGUUUUUGCAAUGUUCAGGUCCGCCUCGAUCGUGCCUGUGUGGAUGAAGCACUAAGGGUCAUCUAUCCUGCGGCACGGGUGGUGCACCGGGCCACCUCCUGCUCUGACCAUAGUCCUAUGUUGAUCAACUUGGAAGGAGUGCAGGAACCGAGGCAUAGGAUGUGA
RNAcentral lists this ribosomal RNA (723 nucleotides) under Triticum aestivum (bread wheat). RNAcentral's name for it is "partial small subunit ribosomal RNA". Lineage: Eukaryota; Viridiplantae; Streptophyta; Magnoliopsida; Poales; Poaceae. The record is from RNAcentral.